Molecule: ribosomal RNA, 396 nt
Filed under: uncultured bacterium
Lineage: Bacteria
Description: bacterial SSU rRNA
Rfam family: Bacterial small subunit ribosomal RNA
Source: RNAcentral
AAUGAACGCUGGCGGCGCGCCUAAUACAUGCAAGUCGAGCGAGAAGACGUAGCAAUACGUUUGUAAAGCGGCGAACGGGUGAGGAAUACAUGGGUAACCUACCCUCGAGUGGGGAAUAACUAGCCGAAAGGUUAGCUAAUACCGCGUACGCUCCUUGGACUUCGGUUCAGGGAGGAAAGCGAUACCGUGGGUAUCGCGCUCUUGGUUGGGCUCAUGUCCUAUCAGCUUGUUGGUGAGGUAACGGCUCACCAAGGCUUCGACGGGUAGCUGGUCUGAGAGGACGAUCAGCCACACUGGCACUGCGACACGGGCCAGACUCCUACGGGAGGCAGCAGUAAGGAAUAUUGCGCAAUGGGCGAAAGCCUGACGCAGCGACGCCGCGCGGGGGAUGAAGGU